This 771-nucleotide ribosomal RNA is filed under the name uncultured Neocallimastigales. Its description in RNAcentral is "partial large subunit ribosomal RNA". It matches the Rfam family "Eukaryotic large subunit ribosomal RNA", at positions 26 to 637 of the family's 3401-position model. The record is from RNAcentral. Lineage: Eukaryota; Fungi; Neocallimastigomycota; Neocallimastigomycetes; Neocallimastigales.
CGCAUCUGUGCAUGCAGCAUAUCAAUAAGCGGAGGAAAAGAAACUAACAAGGAUUCCCUCAGUAACGGCGAGUGAAGCGGGAAGAGCUCAAAUUUGAAAUCUUGAAAGGUCACCUUUCACGAAUUGUAGUUUAAAGAAGUGUUUUCUGUUACGAUCGUAAUAUAAGUUCUUUGGAAUAGGACAUCACAGAGGGUGAGAAUCCCGUCUAUGAUUGCGAUUUGUAGCUUUGUGAUACACUUUCAAAGAGUCGGGUUGUUUGGGAAUGCAGCCCAAAACGGGAGGUAAAUUUCUUCUAAGGCUAAAUAUUGGCGAGAGACCGAUAGCGAACAAGUACCGUGAGGGAAAGAUGAAAAGAACUUUGAAAAGAGAGUUAAAUAGUACGUGAAAUUGUCAAAAGGGAAGCGUUUAACACCAGUGUUGUUUUCUGAAAAUCAACCUCUGUUAGCUUUAUGCAUGUUUGUUUAGACCUAAUCAGCUAUCUUGCAUGUUCUAUUGUUUGCAGUGGUGCACUUUUCAGUUUACAGGUCAACAUCAGUUUUUUUUACCGUAAAAAAGUUAAAGAAAGGUAGCUCAUGGCUCCGGUCGUGAGUGUUAUAGUCUUUUUCCUAUGCGGUAGGAGAGACUGAGGUCUGCAGUGUAGGCUAUUUGGCUAGAUACUCAGGUGCUAUGUGAUACCAUUUCAUAAACAACUUGUUGAUUAUGUUUUGUCUAUUGCAUACUCGCUUGUACUAUCAUACCUACGCUUAGGAUGUUGACGAUCAGCUGAGCGCG